AGCCUAAAGAACUCGAAGACCAGCCAUGAUGCUUUGUUAGCAAAAGGCGAUGAACUGAACGGACAGCUUAAAGAGGAGCGGCUAAAGUGGUUCCAUCUUCAAAAAAAAAAUGCAAUUAGUAACUAUUUCAAGCAGAGGGACAGAAGAGUUACAGGAAGGAAUAAACAAUUCAGAAAAAGAGAAUGAGUUCUUGAAAAAAAACUACGAUAAGCUGCAUGAGUGUCUUCUGUAUGACCCAUGAACAGCAAUGGAAAUCAAAGGAACAGCAACUGAAACGCAAAUUGCUAAACUAGAGAUGGCUAUCAAAUCCGAUUUAGCAGACAAAAAUGCAAUCCUUGACAAGAUCAAAGUAGAAAGAGUGAUAAAUGUGGAUCAGGCAGAUAAUUGUGCAGAAGGAGAGUAUCUCAAGUCUGUUCUAAAGCCAGAUCCACUCGCUGACAGAUCUGAGUUUCACGUCUUGGCCGGAAAACAGGUUUUACUGGAAUGCAGCAGGGAACACCAUGAAAUAAUUACUUGUUGGGAUGGAAAUACCAUACCAAAACAAUUCGUAGGUUUGGAGAUUUAAAAAAAAAAAAAGAUACUUCACUUAAUAAGCAAGCAAAUGAUUUAUUCUACCAUAUAGAAUAGGAAAAUGGAUAAUGUUGUUCUAAAAUUUGACAAUACCAAGGAUAAAAUACUCCUUUUUUUCUUUUUUUUUCCCUGAGGGAUAAAUUAGCAAUGGGAAAUAGCUAGCAUGUGGGAUGCAAUUUCUCCUAUAAAUACUUGAAUAUUUAUAAAAAUUAUUUUACAAGCCUGAUGUGAAAGUAAG
Molecule: long non-coding RNA, 808 nt
Filed under: Corvus moneduloides (New Caledonian crow)
Lineage: Eukaryota; Metazoa; Chordata; Aves; Passeriformes; Corvidae
Description: lncRNA (ENSCMUG00000019657.1)
Source: RNAcentral